RNA transcript from Aegilops tauschii subsp. strangulata, 2104 nucleotides. It is a transcript of the gene named acidic leucine-rich nuclear phosphoprotein 32-related protein 1, with no coding region annotated. NCBI's taxonomy places the organism in Eukaryota, Viridiplantae, Streptophyta, Magnoliopsida, Poales, Poaceae. The record is from RefSeq and is a predicted model, not a curated record.
AGCCGCCCCCUUCUUCCUCCAAUGGCGAGGUAAACACCCCUCCCACGUAUAAAUCACUGUAUUUCAAAUAGCCUCCCCAACCAAAACACCCCCGAUUUUUUUAUUUAUUUGAUUUCGGGAAGGGGAGGGGGGAGAGAUAGAGAGAUGGACGAGGCGUGGGAGAGGGCGGUGGAGGCGGCGCUCCACACCGCCGGCGAGGGGAGCUCGUCGCCGGCGAGGAGCCUGACCCUCGACGGCGCCGUCAAGUGCAUGCACGGGCGCUUGCCGGCGCCGGAGAUACUGGAGCGCCACCAGAGCCUGGAGCACCUCUCGAUCGCCGGCGUCGGGGUCGCGUCGCUCGCGGGGUUCCCCCGCCUGCGGAACCUCACGCGCCUGACGCUCUCCGACAACCGCAUCGCCGGCGGCCUCGAGCACCUCGUCGAGGCGGGGCUCGGGUCGCUGCGCGACCUCGACCUCAGCAACAAUCGCAUCCAAGAUGUGGACGACCUCGCGCCGCUCGCCCGCCUCCGCCUCGUCUCGCUCGACCUCUACGAGUGCCCCGUCACGCGGGUCAAGGACUACAGAUCCAGGGUGUUCGGGUUGAUCCGGACUCUCAAGUACCUCGACAAGAUGGACGCCGACGAGAACGAGCGCCCGGAGUCGGACGACGACGACGACGACGGGGACGGCGAAGGUGAUGGCGAGGAAGAAGAUGAUGAUGACGACGACGAUGACGAGGAUCCUGGAAGCGGCGAGGUGGCAAACGGGGGCGCCUCGCACUCGCGAGGUAGCGUCGCACCGCGCCCGGUGGAGGUGAAUGGGGUGAUCGAUGUGGAUGAGGAUGAGAGCGAGGCCGACGAGGUCGUGCCCAAUGGGGGAGCCGAGCACCACCACAGGGCCAACGGGUUCAGGGUUGCAGCGGUUGGGGUAGCCCCUGAUGAGGAUGAUGAAGACGUGGAGGAUGACGACGACGAUGCAGACGAAGAGUAUGAGGAGGAGGAGGAUUUGGGAGAGGAGAUCGAUGAGGAGGGUGAUGAAGAUGACACUGUUGUCGAGGUACUUGACGUGCCCAGUAGUGAUGAUGAGGAGGAUGGCAUCGAUGAGGAUGAUGAUGAUGAGGAGGAGGUUGAGGAUGAUGGUGAUGGUGAGGAGGCUGAGCCAGAGAGUAGUGGGAGGGUUGCUAUGGGGGUGGGGGGCGUUGGAGAAGAGAUCGAUGGACAUGAGCAAGGUGAAGGUGAUGAUGAGGAUGAGAAUGGUGAGAUUGGAGAGGAAGACGAGGAAAGAUUGGAGGAUAGUAGGGUUUAUGAGGAGGACAACGAUGAUGACGAUGCUGAUGAUGAGGAUGAAGACACAGAAUAUCUUGUUCAACCAAUUGUGACGCCCCAAGCCAUGGCUGUUGGAAGUCCAGGGGACUUUGAUAUCGCUGACCCGGAUGAUGUCGAUGAAGACAGAGAUGAGGUCGAUGAUGAUGACGACGAGGGUGGCAAAGACCAGCCGUCGUCCUCGCAGGGUAUCAAGCGGAAGAGGGAUGAUGACCCAUCAGGCAGCGGCAGCGACGAUGAGGAUGAUGAUACUGAUGACCGGCCGUUCAAGCACCAGUGACCAUUGUACAUGGAUCAUCCCCUUCCUCACCCCUUCUCAGGUAGAAAGAAGUAACCAGGAGCAGCAGCAUCAGCAGCAAAACAGAAAUGAUCCCUGCGCGCAACGGCCGCGAUAAGGAAGGAGGGGACAGCCAGGACAGGCAGGCGACCACGCGAUGCCCGUGAGCCGUGUGGUCGUUCGUGGUGGGGAGCUGCAGGAUCGGACGGCACGGAAUGGAAAGCGGUUGUGUGCGCUUGCCUCGCUUGAGCUGCGGCGUGGAGCGGGCCCACGGGCCACCGAGUUUUGCGCGGGUCUCGUCCGCGUACGUGGGCCGGGCCUAGAGGCUAGAGGCCGCACCACGUUGGGACUUGGGAAGUCAAAGUAGUUUGGCCGGGCUUUCUCAAAAAAAAAAGAAGAAGAAGAGAAGUACUCCCUCCGUUCCUACUACUCCGUAUGUAGUAUUUUAAGACAUUUCACAUGAACAACUAACAUAUGAUGUAUGUAGACAUAUUUUAAAGUGUAGAUUCACUCAUUUUGCUCCGUA